RNAcentral lists this small nucleolar RNA (106 nucleotides) under Cucumis melo (muskmelon). RNAcentral's name for it is "Small nucleolar RNA Z103". It matches the Rfam family "Small nucleolar RNA Z103". Rfam says of the family: This family consists of several snoRNA Z103 sequences which are members of the C/D class of snoRNA which contain the C (UGAUGA) and D (CUGA) box motifs. This family seems to be found exclusively in plants. The record is from Rfam by way of RNAcentral. Lineage: Eukaryota; Viridiplantae; Streptophyta; Magnoliopsida; Cucurbitales; Cucurbitaceae.
UUGGAUGUGAUGAUACUUUCCCCAAGUGAUCGACGCUAAUUAUACUAUGUUGGUGUUUUUAUCACAUUCUGUUGAAUAAUUAUCUUGAAUUAUCUUUAAGAUUCAA